GAUGAACGCUGGCAGCGUGCCUAAUACAUGCAAGUCGAGCGAACAGAUGAGGAGCUUGCUCCUCUGACGUUAGCGGCGGACGGGUGAGUAACACGUGGAUAACCUACCUAUAAGACUGGGAUAACUUCGGGAAACCGGAGCUAAUACCGGAUAAUAUAUUGAACCGCAUGGUUCAAUAGUGAAAGACGGUUUUGCUGUCACUUAUAGAUGGAUCCGCGCCGCAUUAGCUAGUUGGUAAGGUAACGGCUUACCAAGGCAACGAUGCGUAGCCGACCUGAGAGGGUGAUCGGCCACACUGGAACUGAGACACGGUCCAGACUCCUACGGGAGGCAGCAGUAGGGAAUCUUCCGCAAUGGGCGAAAGCCUGACGCAGCAACGCCGCGUGAGUGAUGAAGGUCUUCGGAUCGUAAAACUCUGUUAUUAGGGAAGAACAAAUGUGUAAGUAACUAUGCACGUCUUGACGGUACCUAAUCAGAAAGCCACGGCUAACUACGUG
Molecule: ribosomal RNA, 497 nt
Filed under: uncultured bacterium
Lineage: Bacteria
Description: partial 16S ribosomal RNA
Rfam family: Bacterial small subunit ribosomal RNA
Source: RNAcentral